Molecule: ribosomal RNA, 251 nt
Filed under: uncultured bacterium
Lineage: Bacteria
Description: partial 16S ribosomal RNA
Rfam family: Bacterial small subunit ribosomal RNA
Source: RNAcentral
GACGGGGGGGGCAAGUGUUCUUCGGAAUGACUGGGCGUAAAGGGCACGUAGGCGGUGAGUCGGGUUGAAAGUGAAAGUCGCCAAAAAGUGGCGGAAUGCUCUCGAAACCAAUUCACUUGAGUGAGACAGAGGAGAGUGGAAUUUCGUGUGUAGGGGUGAAAUCCGAAGAUCUACGAAGGAACGCCAAAAGCGAAGGCAGCUCUCUGGGUCCCUACCGACGCUGGGGUGCGAAAGCAUGGGGAGCGAACAGG